AAAGGGCCAAACUGAAGGGAGGAUGGAGUCCCAUCUCCGAAGCGCCGUUUCACUGGUAAUUUCUUGAAUUGCAGCGAUGGAUUCGAGUUGUUCCGCAGAGAAAGGUUGGGGAGAGAAGGUAUCAGAAAAGGUGAUUUCGCUAUACAACUCUCUUCCUAAGAAAGGAAAGCCUCAGGGGCGAGAAGUCACUGUCUUGGCUUCGUUUCUCAUUUCCUCUCCUUCUCAAGAUUUAGAAGUUGUUUCCUUAGGAACGGGGACAAAAUGUAUUGGGCGCUCGCACUUGAGCACGCAGGGUGACAUUGUUAAUGAUUCACACGCUGAGAUUAUUGCUCGAAGAGCUUUAAUGAGGUUCUUCUAUUCAGAGAUUCAACGUCUCUCCAGUAUUUUAAAUAAGCAUGGAAAUGAUAGUGGGAGCAGACAAUUGCAAAGUGAUGAUGUCACAAGCUGCCUUUUCCAUUUGGAACAAGAUGGUUCUAAUCAAGGAAACUUCAAACUGAGAGAGGGUUGGCAAUUACAUCUGUACAUAUCGCAGUUGCCAUGUGGAGAUGCUUCUGUGCAUUCACCCUUAUUGUCUAUGAGAAACAACUUCCAAAGAGAAGAGGAUUCACCAUUCUCUCUAGGCAAGCUUAAUGGUUCCAUAAAUGAGCUUUUAGGGGCUCCAGAAGAGAAUAAUGGUAAUGGUUCACAACUCAGUGGCAUGGUUCAACGGAAGCCUGGUCGUGGUGACACAACAAUGUCAGUUAGCUGCUCUGACAAGAUCACUCGUUGGAAUGUUCUUGGAGUUCAAGGAUCUCUGCUUUCCUACUUUCUUCAACCUGUUUAUCUUUCUACGAUCACUGUUGGACAGUCGCCUAGCGUUUUUCAACAUAUUCCAUUGGAGAACCACUUGCAAAGAUCUUUGUAUGAUCGAAUCUUACCAUUGUCAAAUAAUUUGACUGUUCCCUUUCAAAUAAACAAGCCACUUUUUUGUACAGCUCCUGUACCACCCAAAGAAUUUCAGCAUGCUGAUACUGCCAUAGUCACUUUAACAUGCGGGUAUUCCAUAUGUUGGAAUAAGUAUGGUUUGCAUGAAGUUGUUCUUGGGACCACGGGAAGAAAACAAGGGACCUCUGCUAAAGGAGCACUUUCUCCAUCUACCGAGUCAUCUCUGUGCAAGUAAGCUGACAAAAAGCGAUUAUUGGAGAUUUUCUUGACACUAAGGCGGGACUUGCAACAUAAAAGCCCAACUAAAGGGAUUUCUUAUCGAGAACUCAAGGUUAUAUUUUUCUUGCAUAGUACUGAUGGACUCUUUCAUGAUUUGAAUGAGAAGAUAAAUUAAGGAAUUUGAAUUAUCUAUUUCCUAGCCUUCACCUACCUUCUUAAUGUUAUUAUCUAAUGUGGUAAAUAAUUCAGGUUGUUACUUCAUAUAUGCAUAAGUUCUUCAUUCACAUUAGAUGACUAUGGAGAGUCUCUAUCACCUAAUUGUUUUAAAUUAUCAGGCAAUAUAAUGUGGUCAUCUAAUUGGAAAAAAAAAUUGCUGAAUUUAGUUUCGUGUGAAAAAUAUGGUACAAUAUUUUAGUUGUUCCCUUUGCAGUAUGCAAUAUAAUGAUAUGGUUGAUGGCAUCACCUUCUCUUCAGCUCACUGCUGGAAGGCUUUUGGGCCGCAUAUUUUUGGGGAUGCAUGCGUGAUGGAAAAUUUUAAUUUUCUAGCUUUUUCUUUACAAUCCAUGGGGCAAUGACUUGGUGCUAAUUGUGAGCAAAUAUGAAGUUCUUUUACUAAUAUAAUUUUGGCAAAUUUCCUUGCAGAAUGAUGUUGAGGCAUACAGUUUAACUUCAAAAACUUUUAAAGGAAAACCACCUUUUAACAAUUGGCCAUUGAAACCAUUGAACUUGGAGGCCUUCUCCAUUUUGAGGUAGCAAGGUAUGUGAUAUUCAACUUUGGAUGUUUUCUAUAAAACAUCACCAUGUGUUAACCAUUAGACUUAUAGUUAGCGGUUGAUUGCAUUGAAUUAUGAACUGAGUAUGGUCCUAGCAGAUUUUAUUAUCAUCUCUUUCACAGCCACAACACAUGUACUUAUCAAAGCCUUAAUGCGGCCACGAUUCACCGGCAAUAAAUUGUUGCACACUGAAACCAUUCAGGUUCGAAAGUGACAAGUUGGAGUCUAAAGUGUCUGUAAGGUCCAUAUGAAGUGUCAUUUUUUUUUUUAAGGGAAUACGAGCAAGCAGCCUUCUUGUUUUUCAAAUUUUAAAGGGAACACGAGCAAAAGUGUCUGUAACUUAUUUUUGCUCUCAACUUUUUGUUGAUGUUCAACUUUAUUAACAUUUAAAAUUUUCGUUCAAUUUACCUAAAUCUAAGCUUAAAUUUGCCACUCCCUGAUCCAGUGAGCUGUACGGCGUUCCAAAC
RNAcentral lists this unclassified non-coding RNA (2383 nucleotides) under Hevea brasiliensis (rubber tree). Lineage: Eukaryota; Viridiplantae; Streptophyta; Magnoliopsida; Malpighiales; Euphorbiaceae. The record is from RNAcentral.